UGAAUACGAGACGCUAAGGCGUCGAAGUAGUGUAUGUCAUACUUCCAAGAAAAGCUUGCACUGUCAUAGAUAAAAAACGCCUGUACCAUAACCGACACAGGUGGGUAGGUAGAGUAUACUAAGGGGCGCGAGAUAACUCUCUCUAAGGAACUCGGCAAAAUAACUCCGUAACUUCGGGAGAAGGAGUGCCUUAUUAUUAAGGCUGCAAUAACAAGAUCCAAGCAACUGUUUAUCAAAAACACAGGUCUCCGCUAAGUCGUAAGACGAUGUAUGGGGGCUGACGCCUGCCCAGUGCCAGAAGGUUAAAGAAGUUGGUUAGCAUUUGCGAAGCUGAUAACUGAAGCCCUGGUGAACGGCGGCCGUAACUAUAACGGUCCUAAGGUAGCGAAAUUCCUUGUCGGGUAAGUUCCGACCCGCACGAAAGGCGUAAUGAUUUGGAUACUGUCUCGGAGAGGGGCUCGGUGAAAUAGACUUGUCUGUGAAGAUGCGGACUACCUGCACCAGGACAGAAAGACCCUAUGAAGCUUUACUGUAACUUGAAAUUGAAAUUGGACUUUAUUCGCGCAGCAUAGGUGGGAGGCGUUGAUUAUAAUCUUGUGGGAUUAUUGGAGCCAUCAGUGAGAUACCACUCUUGUAAUGUUAGAUUUCUAACUUUGAAUCAUUAUCUGGUCAAAGAACAGUUUCAGGCGGGCAGUUUGACUGGGGCGGUCGCCUCCUAAACGGUAACGGAGGCGUACAAAGGUUUCCUCUGAACGGUUAGAAAUCGUAUCUAGAGUGUAAAGGCAUAAGGAAGCUUGACUGUGAGACCUACAAGUCGAGCAGGGACGAAAGUCGGUCUUAGUGAUCUGACGGUACUGAGUGGAAAGGCCGUCACUCAACGGAUAAAAGUUACUCUAGGAUAACAGGCUGAUCUCCCCCAAGAGUUCACAUCGACGGGGAGGUUUGGCACCUCGAUGUCGGCUCAUCGCAUCCUGGGGCGGUAGUACGUCCCAAGGGUUGGGCUGUUCGCCCAUGAAAGCGGUACGCGAGCUGGGUUCAGAACGUCGUGAGACAGUUCGGUCCAUAUCCGGUGUAGGCGUUAGAAUAUUGAGAGGAGCCUUCUUUAGUACGAGAGGACCGAGAAGGACAUACCUCUGGUGUACCAGUUAUCGUGCCAACGGUAAACGCUGGGUAGCUAUGUAUGGAGUGGAUAACCGCUGAAAGCAUCUAAGUGGGAAGCCCACCUCAAGAUAAGUAUUCCC
RNAcentral lists this ribosomal RNA (1241 nucleotides) under metagenome. RNAcentral describes it as "bacterial LSU rRNA". It matches the Rfam family "Bacterial large subunit ribosomal RNA", at positions 1564 to 2815 of the family's 2925-position model. The record is from RNAcentral.